CGGUGAAAUGCGUAGAGAUCGGGAGGAACACCAGUGGCGAAGGCGGCCUACUGGGCUUUAACUGACGCUGAAGCACGAAAGCAUGGGUAGCAAACAGGAUUAGAUACCCUGGUAGUCCAUGCCGUAAACGAUGAUUACUAGGUGUGGGGGGUCUGACCCCUUCCGUGCCGGAGUUAACACAAUAAGUAAUCCACCUGGGGAGUACGACCGCAAGGUUGAAACUCAAAGGAAUUGACGGGGGCCCGCACAAGCAGUGGAGUAUGUGGUUUAAUUCGAAGCAACGCGAAGAACCUUACCAGGUCUUGACAUCUAUCGAAACCCUAAGAGAUUAGGGCGUGCCCUUCGGGGAACGGUAAGACAGGUGGUGCAUGGUUGUCGUCAGCUCGUGUCGUGAGAUGUUGGGUUAAGUCCCGCAACGAGCGCAACCCUUACUGUUAGUUGCUACGCAAGAGCACUCUAGCAGGACUGCCGUUGACAAAACGGAGGAAGGUGGGGACGACGUCAAAUCAUCAUGCCCCUUAUGACCUGGGCUACACACGUACUACAAUGGUCGUUAACAGAGAGAAGCAAGCCCGCGAGGUGGAGCAAAACUCUAAAAACAGUCUCAGUUCGGAUUGUAGGCUGCAACUCGCCUACAUGAAGAUGGAAUUGCUAGUAAUCGCGGAUCAGCAUGCCGCGGUGAAUACGUUCCCGGGCCUUGUACACACCGCCCGUCACACCAUGGGAGCCGGUAAUACCCGAAGUCAGUAGUCUAACAGCAAUGAGGACGCUGCCGAAGGUAGGAUUGGCGACUGGGGUGA
RNAcentral lists this ribosomal RNA (800 nucleotides) under uncultured bacterium. RNAcentral's name for it is "bacterial SSU rRNA". It matches the Rfam family "Bacterial small subunit ribosomal RNA", at positions 679 to 1483 of the family's 1533-position model. The record is from RNAcentral.